Molecule: ribosomal RNA, 500 nt
Filed under: uncultured Cryptophyta
Lineage: Eukaryota; Cryptophyceae
Description: SSU rRNA
Rfam family: Eukaryotic small subunit ribosomal RNA
Source: RNAcentral
CUGACACAGGGAGGUAGUGACAAUAAAUAACAAUGCCGGGCCUUCUUAGGUCUGGCAAUUGGAAUGAGAACAAUUUAAACCCCUUAUCGAGUAUCAAUUGGAGGGCAAGUCUGGUGCCAGCAGCCGCGGUAAUUCCAGCUCCAAUAGCGUAUAUUAAAGUUGUUGCAGUUAAAAAGCUCGUAGUCGGAUGUCGGGCUCGGGCAAGCUGUCGGCCUUUGGUCGGACGGCAGGCUCGGGUCUUUCUGCCUGAGGAACCCGGUUGCUUUAACGAGCUGCCGGUGGACGCAGGUCGUUUACUUUGAAAAAAUUAGAGUGUUCAAAGCAGGCUAGCGCUUGAAUACAUUAGCAUGGAAUAAUGGAAUAGGACUUUGGUGCUAUUUUGUUGGUUUAUGGGACCGAAGUAAUGAUUAACAGGGACAGUUGGGGCCGUUUAUAUUUCGUUGUCAGAGGUGAAAUUCUUGGAUUUACGAAAGAUAAACUUCUGCGAAAGCAUUCGGCAA